This 3654-nucleotide long non-coding RNA is filed under the name Gallus gallus (chicken). RNAcentral's name for it is "lncRNA (ENSGALG00010012491.1)". Lineage: Eukaryota; Metazoa; Chordata; Aves; Galliformes; Phasianidae. The record is from RNAcentral.
CUGGAGAGGAAGAAAGCCGCUCAUUUUCUCGUACGCUGCGUCUCUCAGCCGGGGUCCCCGCGGAGGGGAAAGGCUUGUCAGAGGAGGCUGCGAAAGGUUUUCGCCCGGACCUGCGACGUGUUCGUGUCACCCUCACCGACGGGCCGAGGCUAGCAGUGCCCACUCGGCGGCCGGGCACGAAGCGAUGGACGUCGUCCCGUUACUUUCCGAAACGAGCCGGGGGAGGAAAGCUCCAGCUCCGCCACAGUUCCGCCCUGAAGGCAGAGGCGCCGAGGGUGGUACUUUCCCGUUCCCCACUCCGGGAUUCUGCUCAUCGCAGGGUGCCCCCCCGAGGGGAGUGGGGGCUGGGGGGACCUCCCAGUCCCUUUCCCCGUGAUUAGAGCACUUCUGGAUGGCGCGAGAGGCCAGUUCAAGCGUUUUCGCUUUAGGGGAGGCUUUGAAACCCGAUCUACGCUUGUCCGGGCAGUGCUGUAACCUCUGAGCUGUGCCUUAGAGCCGCGAGCGACCCGCCCCGCAGAAUGCGGACUCACCGGCUCGGAGUUCAGCGGCUCUUCGGGUGGCUACCGGGUCCCUGUCGAUGGGGACAGUGUCCUAGGGCCGGCCGAUCCGCAGCAGCGGGGCCGUUUCCAUCUCGGUGGUGGACAACGUCCUGGGUCACGGCACCGACUCUGCCGGAUUUUUCCCCUCCUCCCGCUUCUCGGUCUCUUGCUUCAGAACUUCCUACAGCCGUGCCUUGAGCUCAGCGGGAGCCAACCGGGGAAAUGUCCAGGAAUAUUUUCAAAUACCUCUGGAAAAGUCUCUUUGUCUCCACUGCCUAAAGAGGAACGGAAGGAGGGAACGUCCCAACUGAAAUAGCUGGAGCAGAACUACUUCACCUACGUGCUGCACACUGGGCUGUGCAUUGUUUCUUUUUGAGGACCUGGUGUUCAUUAUGAUGAUGGAUAAACCUAAUCCGUGAUGUUAAAAGUCCUGGUUAUUUUUCAUCGGUUUAACGUGGCAGUCACCUCUUUUGUCUCAUGCAGUGCCUGGGCAUUCGGCGAGCCAUCAGAGCCUCGGGAGGGGCAACCCUCACAGCUGCUCAGUCCGAGGCAUGUACCUCUGAGACGUCCCAGAGUCAGAGGAGCUGAUCUAAGCCACGUGUCAAUCGAAAUUCCACCACCUUGGCUGCUUUUUCCAAAAUCUCAACGUCUCCCCGUGAAACUGGCAGCUUUUCAUUAUGGGUACAGGUGGUGUAAAAGGCCGUCUGUGUUGAUGGUGCAAUACUGUGAUGCUUGAGGAUCUGCCUUAACAUCGCUAGAAGCUGGAUUUCAUCAGAAAGUGAGAGUGUCACGUGCCUUGUAUUUGAGUAAGCAUGAAACAACUUUCCAGCGGUGCAGGUUAUCUUGGGGCGUUCAGUUGCUUCUUUGCAUACAAAAACAUUCUUAUCAUGAGCAAAGCUCAGAUGUCUGGCAUUUUUUUUCCGAGUUGCUGCUCAAUGGAUAUAGAAACGUUGCAGAUAACUACUCUAACACAGGAGAAAAGACAUUGCAUCCAGUACCCUUGGCAGCAAUGUUUUUUUUUUUUUUUUUUCCUUUUUAGUAGCCGUUUUAUCGAUAAAAACAUCUUACUACUAUUUUUUUUUCUAAACAAGUUUAAUUUAGACCUUAGCACAGCGUACACCUGAAAAUAAAGUAGUGCUGUUCUUUAUAUUCUCAUCCCUGUGAAUGUGGCAUGAAACUUUUCAUCCAAAGAAGAUCUACUUAUGUGAGGUAAUCUGAGGAAGACUGAUAGCCUUCAGCAAUGCAUUUCCACAAGAACCAGUGAUAAGUAGGAGCAGAAGAGCAAAAAGAUUCCAAUCAAAGCACAACAUUCCUAAAAGAGGAACAUUGAUGAUGAUCACUGCAGGAGCCGUCCUAUUGAUGGAACAAAAUGUUCAGAUUGAGAAGGAGGCGUUGCCAAAAAGCUCAGUUGCCAUGGAAGAAAAACAUCAGCCAUGAGUGGAAGGAAGGGACCUCUUUCCUAAAUUUGUCCCUGUGCUCUGUCCUUGUAAGACUGACAUGAACAACCUAUGAAGACCCUCUUCCCAGUGUUAUGCCUACAGGAACAUGUAGAUUUGCUAUAAGAAAUGAAAAGAAGGGCAUGAGAAUACAGGAUGCUUUUGGAAAUAAUUCAGUUAAAUCCUCAAGGUUUCUGACAGAGGAACACUGAUCGCUGUCAUCAUGGGAGCUGUCUCACCAACCAGUAAAUGCAUUCAGUACAUUGCACAGCGCACCCAUUUGACUUGGAGAACAAGCAUGAAAGAUUAGUUGGCGCCUCAUUUUAAGUAAAUAUAAAGACUUCUAGUCAACUACUACAUUGAAACAUGCUGUGGGUAAGUACUGGGUUAAAACAACUGAACAAACAAAAGCAACUGAAAGCGAAGCGUAAGGAAUGGAAAGUGUCAAAGACGAAGCAAACUUAAUGUGAUACGCAGAGAAGCACGAGAGGCAAUUCUCGCUGUGAGCCACAUGAUGCCACUCUGAGCUAAGAAACACACAAUACGACUGGGAAAAGGGAGGGGAACACCUUCUGGUGUCCAUGGGAGGAUUAUUAUUAUUAUUAUUAUUUUUUUCUGAACAAGCAGCCACUGAUACUACAGGUAAGUCAUUCGUACCCAAAAGGUAUGUAGCUGAGAUACAGAUGUAGGGUUUUGCACUGCUUAAUUGUAUGCUCUUUAUGCUGGAAGGAAUAAAUGUUUCCUGGGUACUGCCUGUAGGUUUCGAGCCUUCUGAUGAUUGUGUGCAUACCAACGGGGAGAGCUGUUUCUCUCACUGGUGACAAUCCCUUCCCUGGAUGUCAGCACAUUUGGAAAUAGAGGAAAUCUCUCAGGAGGCAUUAUUUAGUGGAUGUAAUCAUUUUGUACUUGACUUCUCCCCAGUUUGUGCACUUGCCCAGUUGGCUUCAGUCUAGGUCGUGUGCUCUCUUGUAGCAUGGCUCAAUCUAAAAUGUGAAUAGAUGCUGAAGUUAUAUAUCAAUGUCAGAGGAACUAAUUCUUUACAGCCACGUGUUUUUUUUUUUGUUGUUGUUGUUGUUUUGUUGUUUUUUUUUGUUUUGGUUGUUAUUUUGUUUUGUUUUGUUUUUGAGGACUUGCCACCACUGAAAGAACUAAAAUAACUCAUUUAAAAAUAAAAACUCCACCAAUUAGACUGCUUUUUGCAGAUUUAUCUCAGCUUCUUCAUGUGGACUUGAUGACUUCUGAAUAUAGAUAGAAGUGUGUAAAAGACAAAUUGUUUGUGCAUCUGACUGCUCAGUGUUACAAUGCUUGACAACUUGCUUUACCCUCUGUAGAAGAAGAGAAUCUCACGUGGGCUGGAUUUGAGUAAGCACAAAACAGCUUUUCCAAUGUGUAGGUUAUUUUGGAUUGUUCCUUUGUGUAUACAGUCACCUUUAUCCUAGCAAAGCUCGGAUCACUGGCAUUGUGGGAUCACUUAUUUAAGCCUUUGCUCAGUGGAUGUGGAGGUGAUGCAGACAAGUAUUUGGAAAACAAAAGAAAGGACAGCAUGUCCUACACUCUUGGAAACAAUGCUUGUUUUGUCUUUAGCAGAUGUUUUGCUGAUUAAAACUUCCUGCUACACUUUUUUUGGAGCAAGCUUAAUUUAGAUGUUAGCGCAGCUCUAAGAUACUUGAAAAUAAAAC